AGUGAACGCUGGCGGUAGGCCUAACACAUGCAAGUCGAACGGCAGCACAGUAAGAGCUUGCUCUUACGGGUGGCGAGUGGCGGACGGGUGAGGAAUACAUCGGAAUCUACUUUUUCGUGGGGGAUAACGUAGGGAAACUUACGCUAAUACCGCAUACGACCUACGGGUGAAAGCAGGGGAUCUUCGGACCUUGCGCGAUUGAAUGAGCCGAUGUCGGAUUAGCUAGUUGGCGGGGUAAAGGCCCACCAAGGCGACGAUCCGUAGCUGGUCUGAGAGGAUGAUCAGCCACACUGGAACUUGGACACGGUCCAGACUCCUACGGGAGGCAGCAGUGGGGAAUAUUGGACAAUGGGCGCAAGCCUGAUCCAGCCAUACCGCGUGGGUGAAGAAGGCCUUCGGGUUGUAAAGCCCUUUUGUUGGGAAAGAAAAGCAGCAGGUUAAUACCCCGCUGUUCUGACGGUACCCAAAGAAUAAGCACCGGCUAACUUCGUG
This 492-nucleotide ribosomal RNA is filed under the name uncultured bacterium. RNAcentral's name for it is "partial 16S ribosomal RNA". It matches the Rfam family "Bacterial small subunit ribosomal RNA", at positions 29 to 507 of the family's 1533-position model. The record is from RNAcentral.